RNAcentral lists this long non-coding RNA (456 nucleotides) under Ovis aries (sheep). RNAcentral's name for it is "lncRNA (ENSOARG00000025777.1)". The record is from RNAcentral. Lineage: Eukaryota; Metazoa; Chordata; Mammalia; Artiodactyla; Bovidae.
UUGCUUCCUUCUGACUCUGCUAAUUGCAUCUGGUGAAUACUGGAAAAGAAACUGCAGGGCUGGAAGGCAUUGCUGUCAUCCAGCCAAUCAGAUGUACACACAGCCAAUGGGAGUUCUCUUCCCACAGCCUACAGCCCUGAGGUGGUUCCAGGCAGCUGGUGCCCUACCAGAGCCAUGUGUCACGUGGCUCUGUACAUCAGCGAUUUCCUACAUUCUUCACCACUUUUGGAGAACCGUUUCCUCGCAGGAUAUAUUAUAUAAUAACCUGAUUAGGCAGAGUCACAGGCAUGAGUUACUGCCAACACUUAUCCUGUCCAGCUUUGUGAAUUUGGGUAAGUUACUUAAAUUUCCUGAGCCUCAUUUCUCUGAACAUUGAGAACAUGAUUGCAAAUAAUUGAGGAUUUUAUUUAAGGAUCACAUGGCACCGCCUUCAAGUAUAAUUGCAGUAAUUGUUUU